This 5613-nucleotide long non-coding RNA is filed under the name Megachile rotundata (alfalfa leafcutting bee). RNAcentral describes it as "uncharacterized LOC105664008". Lineage: Eukaryota; Metazoa; Arthropoda; Insecta; Hymenoptera; Megachilidae. The record is from RNAcentral.
UUAAAAAAAAAGAAAAAUGUUAUUAUAAGAUAUUAAAAUGACAUUAUGGACUUUACGAUGAAAAAAAUUAGCAAACAAUUUUCAUUUUGUGUUUACUAUGCGAAACAUAAAUGCAGUUUUAAUCUAUAGUAUAAUAAAAUUAUAAUUAAAUAUACAAAAUAUUUUGUUCUUUAGUAUCUAAAAGGUACUGCCUGACAUUUAAACAAUAUAUAAGAUCUAUAACGCUAAACAUUUUUUAAUAAUUGAAUACCAAACAUCGUUAACUAUAUAAUAUAAAGUUUACCAUUCGACUUGUUUAUGAAGAUAAAAAAAAGAGAAUUAUUUACUUGUAUAUAUUUACAAAUUAUAAAUAUAAGACAUGUUUAACUAAAGUGACUACAUAUACAAUUAAUAAUAUUAGUCGAAUGGAAAAGUAGUUAUAAUUUUUUAAAGAUUACAUUACAACAUGAAACAUUAUAAUAAAAUUCCACACUACACAAGUUUUGCUUGGUAUGAACAAUAAUAAUACUAAACAGUCAUUAUCUUAAACUUAAGCUUUCCUGGUUGCUUUUUAUACUUCUGUUAAUAAUUUCUUUUCCUUCUUUAACUGGCAGCACCUUUGAUUUAAUAUUUAUUUAAAUAUAGAUGAAAUAUUGCAAUAUUUUGUGUUCCUUCUUGAUAAUCUAUAGAAACGAGCAUGACUAAUUUUUAGUACAACAUUAAUUGCAUCAUUAUAUUUUUAUUCCAAGUAUUUAUUAUAUUAAAAACCUUUUUUGUUGCUAAAUAUAUCUUUAUACCUUUUUGUAUCAAAAUAUUAAAAAUUAUAUGAACAUACCUUAGUAUAAAUCAUGCAAACAUAGAGUACACAUAUUAGACGUAUAUUCAAAUUGACAAAAUUGUAUGCUAUAUUUGUCUUUGCCUACUUCUCAAAUGAAAUAUUUGUAAAAAAUAGAUCAUUAUUUUUAAGAUUUAAUAAUCCAUAAAAAUAAUGAUUUUUUUUUUAAAUAAAAUGCCUUAAUGUAACUAUAAACGAACUUAUCAAUUAUUGUACAUUUCUUUUUUUUUUCAUUAAGAUUUCAAAAUUUUAUAUAUAAGACAUAUUUAUUUAUUUAAAAAUGGGUAAUUUUCAAUUAUUUCUUAUUUAGUAUAGAAUUUUGCCCGCCUCUAGUAAACAUUGUAACUCUUUAUGUAUUAAGAUCAUUUUUAAAUACAUAUAAACUUUGAAUCCAUAGAAAAAUUAGUAAUGAUAUGAGUUCAGCGUGUACAGAAUCACAAUCAUUCUAUAAAAUGCAUGUACAGAAGUAACCACAACCAGAACAAUCUUAGAUAUCCACGAUUUUUUUUCUUUUUAUAGUCUAUCAUUAUUAUCUUGCAAAUAUUGUUUCAAUUAUUAUUGUUUUUCCUUUUUUAUCAGGGUGACCACCAAUGGUUUCUUUUUCAAGAUCUUUUGUAAUUGUUUACUCUUCAAUUUUUGAUUUGUUAGAGCGCUUUUCUUUCUAUAAAUUCAUGUAUAAUUUUCAUAAAGUUAACAAUAAUUUUUUACAGUAAUUAGUACAAUAUUUAUAAUGAUUAUUACAUGGUAGUUAUAAUAUUGUGAAUUUUAUAAAUACAGUGUCAAUUGUAUUCCUAUUAUGCAAUUGUAACUUCACCUUAACCACAUUAUUUUUGUCAAUCUCAUAGAAUAGAUACUUUGCAAAGUAUAUUGUUAAAUGGUAUUUCGUUUUAUAACAUCAUGUAACAAAAUGUGGUCACCCUGAGAAAGUAUGUUGUACGAACGGUCUGUGCUUAUUCUUUGAUGUUUAAAAAGUUAUAUAUCAUACAUCGUUUAUCAGCUUUGUAUUUUAAGAAAAUGGAACAUCUUGUUUCAGAAAAUAUCUUCUCGGUCGUACAACAGGUUAAGUAAAAUAUUUCUUAUCGUAGUACACAUGCUUUAUAAUAGUACUAAUAUACUUUUUGUUUUCUUUUUUUUAUUAAAUCUAUAUUAAUUGUUUGUAGUUUUGUUUCUUUGCACUGUAAGAGAAUGACAAGCUUAAUAAUAAACAUUUCUUUCUUUCGCAAUAUAUCAAAUUGCUCACUACUGCGCUUUAGGCUAUAUGCAAACAUUAUUUAUACCGGAAGACGGUGUUGUUAUAUUGCAAAAAUACUAAAAUAUUUUAACGGGCGUACUUCCACAUAAUCCUGCAUACCUAAGGCGCGGAAAUCGAGUUAAUAUAAAUAGUUUUUCGAAUCAAAUUUCGUUUAGCUUGGUUAAAUAUAAAAGUACCAUAUUAACUUUAACUUAUCAUAUAAAGGUACAUCUGAAUGACACGAUUAGAAAUUGAAAAUACAGCUUCUACGCUUCACUCUUUCCAACAUUAAACCUUGAAGCUAUGUUUUCAAUUUGCGUUCAACAUUAUCAAUUACAUAUUAAAAAGUUAAAUUAGGAUUUAAAACUACACAAAUGUUAAACAUUAAUUGUCAUUAAUAUUGUUCUUCUCCCUCUAUUAUUAAUCAGGUAAGAGUUUAUGCGUUUAAAUUUUGAUGAGAUCAAUCAACUGGUACAAAUAAUUUAGUGUGUCAACCUCCGUCACAUCAGAAAUGCAGAAUUAUUUAUAGAAAUUAGAAACAUUAACAGAUCACAUUCAUUUCUCGCAGAACGUAACUUUAUUACUUUCAUAAAUCUGUUAAAAAUGGCACUGUUUUUACAGAUUGUACCUUGUGCACGUUACUACUUGUUUUUAUUCAUUUGAUUUGUGUAUUUCCUUUUCUUUAAUACUUGAAAUUAGUUCAAUGACUUUAAAUGAAUCAUUAAUUAAUCAAUAAAUAACCAAUAACUUUCCAAAGAAUAGUGUAAGAACUCGUGUUACAGUUUACAACAUUAUUUUGACAGUAAUUAUUGAUAUUUAACAAUAUGAGGAUGCAAAUGACUGACAAUUUUCUAAGAAUACAUAUAAGCUAGUAAAUUUAAUACCUCAAUCUUUUUACUUAUAUUAAAAUAGCAAUGAAUCUUUACCAUACAAAAUGCAAUUGAAAACAGAUACAAUAUCAAUGCACAGCAAAGUAAAAUGCAUCAAGUGAAAUGCAAGUUUAUAAAAAACCAUGUCAAAAUAAUGCAUAAGUUAUUAAAACAUUUUCUCACGAUUCUUACAAAUUUCAUUGUGCAAUUUCUGAUUAAUGAUUCAAAAGUUGUAUGGGCUUGCUCUUAUUUUAUGCUCGAAUGUGCAAGUAUUAUUUUUUUAUGUUUUUCUUUUUCUAUUAGUUGUCAAUCUUAAUAAUUCGUAAAAGAUGCACCUCGAAGAUUUACGUCAACGAGCGAUCGCACAAUUAAAAGUUUACAGCCUUUCCUCGUAUGUAAAAUAUUUAUAUCUUCAUAAAUACCGACAUACCGAACGAUAAGAUCUAAGUAGAGAAAUUGUUAUUACAUAAUCACAGUUGUACAGCCAUUUGCUACCUCGUAUUUAAAUACAAAAAUGCUUAGAUAUCAGUACCGUAGAACUCGAUCAUUUUUUUUAAUAUACUUUGUGUUUCUGUAAUUUCAGUCUGAUCAUUAUUAUCAAAGAAAAAGGAACAGGGCGCAAACAGGACGUGUUUUGGGAGGUCACUAUUGGAAAUCGCCAAUUAUAAAAACUUGUGCAAUUAAAAUCAUAUACGAGUUUACAAUCUAAGCAGUUUUGCAAUACUAUAACGGAUAAUAAUACGAAUAUUUCAAAGAGCAUACGUUCACAUAAUAAUUGCAGUAACACCAGAUACUAUAAAAUUGGAUCAUUAUCAACAAUGUGUCCACGUUUGCAUAAUGAAUGAAACAAUGUGUUAGAAGGCUGAAAAUAGAAGAUGAAAUAGAAACAGUGAUAAUGUAGCAAGAAAAAAACAAAGCAUCCACUAUUUUUUCUUUGUUUCCCACAAUAUUGAGCAGUCACUGUAGCAAACAAGAACACAUUCUACAAUGAAUCAAAUCAAUUUGUUUUUUUUUUUUUUAGUCAGAGUACUGUUUAUCGGAAUUCAUAUACUGCUACUAUAUCUAAAUAACAAAUGCAUUAGUCAUAUAUCAAAACUACAAGUGAUUAAAGAAUGUGCAGAUAAUUCUCCCUCGAUGUUAAGGAACCAUCAUCUGCCCUUUUAUAUCUGAUCACAAAUCCUUUCGACAAAUGAAACAACAGGCAAUCUCUUCAACGUUCAACUAGUGCAUAAAUAAACGUUCGCAAUAUGGCUCUUAUGACUUCAAUAAUGUUUAACACAGGAGAAGAAUCAUUCGCACAAAACAGAGCAUGUAACGUUUUGUAUUUAUAUUAUUGUAACUUGUCAAAAAUAUAUUGUUCAAUUUGAUCCUGCCCUAUUGUUGGUUUUCUUUGUGCAGUGUUCAACGAAAAUCCAAUUGAUCAUAAAUUGUUCUUACAUGAACGUACUUUGACAAUUAAGUUUGAAAUAUUUAGUUUAUAUAAAGUUUUUACAAUUAUGAGAUUCAACAUAUUCAAGAUUGUAUAGUACUUUGAAGUACUAUUCUUUCGUAUGAUACUUAACGUGUUAACUAUCAUGUUUCUAUUAUCCACAAUUUCAAAUACCUAUUACAAGUGUUUUUGAUUAAGUAAAUGAAAAAACAUAAUAUGAAUGAUGGGUUCAUAAGUAGGCAAUCAGUUAAUGCGUUAAAUUAAAUGAAAGUAUAAUGAAAAAGAAGAAAAAUGAUAGCACCUAAAGUUAUAUUAAAAUUAUACACAUUUUGCAGAUUGUAAUAGAAAGAAGAGAAAGCAAUCACCGAAACCAACAACUUGGGCAGUACUAUAUAAAUAUUCAACUGUAUGUUUUCUUUAAUACACAGUAUUAGCUAAUUAAUUUAUUUUGUUAUUCUCCUAUUACCCUAUUUUGUAGCUAAAUUUGUUGCUUUCACAAUAAUUUAUGUUCUUAUUAAUAAUAUUUUAAUUGUGUUAUUGUUAUAAGUAAAAUAGUACAUAUAUUGUAUUGUUUAUAAUAUUCAAUAUUAUAUAUCAUUCAGGAAUAUCUUUCCUAGAUUUUCACGCAGCUCACCGUAAUCAAGAUACACUCCAACUUUAUACAAAAUAACAUUGUUUCAUCUAUAUAGUAUCUGUAUCGAUACUAUACAUUAUAUACUACACAAACAAGUACACAUUUGAUGUUAAAGCGUAACACAAACCAUCUUUCACUUCCAUAAUUAGUAUUUAUAUAAAUAUAAUCUACUAGAGAGAACAUCAUGAUUACGAGAAGUCGGUGAAAUGGGCAUUCUUUACAAGUACGUUUAGCAACAAAUUGCUACCAUAUUAAAAUUGUUUUAUCUUCUACUAUUUCUAUCGGAAGGUAGAGAAAGUUCUUUUUCAUCUUUUAGAGGUAUGUAAUAAUAACAAUGUAACAAUCGACGAUUUUAAAAAGGAAACAGAAAACGAGGAAUAGUAUCUUUAAGAUAAAAUAUAUUCAAAGUAUUUGACAAUAAAUAUUUUUGUUUUUUAAAGACUUGCUCUGUGGUUGUUGUACUUAUAAAGAAUGCAUUUAAAAAACAUAAUUGAAAAAUGCAUUAUUAUAGUGCUAAAUUGAUUAAAUUCUAAAUAGUACUUUGAAAAUUGUAUCAUGGUGCAUACGAUCCACAGCGAAAUCAAGAUAUUUAUAUUUUUUCACCACACUACAUGUAAUAUAAUAUAUAAUCUAUUU